AAGUCGUAACAAGGUUUCCGUAGGUGAACCUGCGGAAGGAUCAUUCAUAAUAAGUGUUUUAUGGCACUUUUUAAAUCCAUAUCCACCUUGUGUGCAAUGUCAGUCGAUCUUCUUCAUGGAGAUCGACCAAAAGAGUUAAAAAAUAAAGGUUGAUGUACAUCAACCUUUAUUUUUUAACUCUUUGUCUGAAAAAUAUUAUGAAUAAACAAUUCAAAAUACAACUUUCAACAACGGAUCUCUUGGCUCUC
RNAcentral lists this unclassified non-coding RNA (248 nucleotides) under Mortierella sp. RNAcentral describes it as "partial internal transcribed spacer region". The stretch from base 1 to 46 matches the Rfam family "Eukaryotic small subunit ribosomal RNA", at positions 1786 to 1831 of the family's 1831-position model. The record is from RNAcentral. Lineage: Eukaryota; Fungi; Mortierellomycota; Mortierellomycetes; Mortierellales; Mortierellaceae.